RNAcentral lists this small nuclear RNA (146 nucleotides) under Ornithorhynchus anatinus (platypus). Its description in RNAcentral is "U1 spliceosomal RNA (ENSOANG00000018493.2)". It matches the Rfam family "U1 spliceosomal RNA", at positions 19 to 166 of the family's 166-position model. Rfam says of the family: U1 is a small nuclear RNA (snRNA) component of the spliceosome (involved in pre-mRNA splicing). Its 5' end forms complementary base pairs with the 5' splice junction, thus defining the 5' donor site of an intron. Lineage: Eukaryota; Metazoa; Chordata; Mammalia; Monotremata; Ornithorhynchidae. The record is from RNAcentral.
AUAAAUAUUGAAUGAAUGAAUAGUUUUCCCAGGGUGAGGCUCAUCCAUUGCACUGUGGGUGUGCUGACCUCUGUGAUUUCCCCAAAUGCAGGAAACUCGACUGCAUUAUUUGUAGUAGUAGAGGACUGCAUUAAAGCUUUCCCCUG